This 24-nucleotide non-coding RNA is filed under the name Arabidopsis thaliana (thale cress). The record is from RNAcentral. Lineage: Eukaryota; Viridiplantae; Streptophyta; Magnoliopsida; Brassicales; Brassicaceae.
CUAUCCAUUACUUUUGUAGUACCG